Molecule: small RNA, 28 nt
Filed under: Bombyx mori (domestic silkworm)
Lineage: Eukaryota; Metazoa; Arthropoda; Insecta; Lepidoptera; Bombycidae
Description: ovarian small RNA-27617
Source: RNAcentral
UCCGUGAGGUGGUGCUCUUGUUGUAUGC